Long non-coding RNA from Carassius gibelio (silver crucian carp), 356 nucleotides. RefSeq lists it as uncharacterized. The record is from RefSeq and is a predicted model, not a curated record. The transcript is spliced from 3 exons. NCBI's taxonomy places the organism in Eukaryota, Metazoa, Chordata, Actinopteri, Cypriniformes, Cyprinidae.
AGUCUACAGAACAUGAGCAUCCAGGAUGCUGAAACCCAGGUCAUGAAUGAGCAGGAGAUAAAUGAUCUAAUGAACAGUGUAAUUGAUUGGGGGACAGUGAAGGAGGAGUUAGUAAUGAGGAGAUUGAAGCACAUGACAGUGAAGAUGAGGACUAUGUCCCUCGUAUUUGUAUUCGGUUGGGUGGAGCAUUGCAGGCACCACCACGCAUUGACAAUCUGCCUGUGAUAGAUGCCAGUGAGACAGUACAUGACAUCCCGGAUGUAGAGCCUCCAUCAGUCACCUUACCUACACUUCAACAACCUGGCUUUCCUGAUACACUGGAGGUCAUGACUGAAGAUGACCUAAUUGGGAAACGG